CCCCUAACUGUUCCCUUUGAUCCCACUUAUGUGUAGUACCGCACAUGCUAUGUUCCUUCCCCAGCACAGCCCAUUCUGCUGGGGAGGGAACUGGGGGAGGGAGAGUCCCAUGGCCACCAACGCUCACUCGCUUUUUCACUGACAUCGCUAUCUGCCUACAAUCCAUGCUGGAAAUCUCUGUCGAGAAUAUUCUGCUAAAUCACACAAAAAAGAACAACACCCUCAAGGUUCAUUCCCUUCUAAUCCUCUUCCUGACUCUUAAAACUUUUUAUUUAUUUAUUUUUAUUUUGCAGGCAUGGGUGGCCACUUGGACACUCGAGGCCUGAAGAAGAGCUUCUGGUAAUAAAGAAAUAUAAAUAAAACAAGAGAAAUAAAAGGCACAGUGGGACAAGGUCAGGAGGAAAUUGGAUUCAUUUCAUAUUUCGCAGCAGCGGCACUGGCUUCCCUCUGGCUCUCGGUCAAAUCUGGUUUUGAGAACAGACAGCUCCUGGCAGCCUAUCUAUCACAUCUCACAAGCGCGGUGUCAAGGGUUUAAUUUGAAUUUGGUCCUCCCUGAUGGCCAAGGCCACCUCGCCACCCAAAAACUGGGGAGGGAAUAGCUGUGAGGUUCACACGGCAUUUUCAAUUAAAUAGGCAGCAGAGAAGGGGGGAGAAGACACAUAUUUAUGGCACGGAAUUUAAGUUGAAAUUUGAGUUUAGCAAUAAAGGUUUAUGACAGCUCUUGCAGGAGAGGGCCGCUGAGAGGUGAGGCUGUGCAUAUCGCUUUGCGGGGGACAGUCGGAGGUUGCGUUUACUUAUUCCCAGACACGUUAUAUUGACCAGUUGUUGUAAUUAAAAAGUCCAUUGGGGGCGCCUGGGUGGCUCAGCUGGUUAAAGGUCUGACUCUUGAUUUCGGCUAAGGUUAUGAUCUCAGGGUUGUGAGUUCAAGCCCCACCUCAGGCUCCACACUGGGCAUGAUGCCUGCUUGAGAUUCUGUCUCCCUCUCCCUCACUCCCCUGCUCACAUGUGUGCACGUGCUCUCUCUCUCUCUCAAAAAGCAAAAAUAAAAAUAAAAAAGUCAGUUGGCGUUGGGCAAAUAAGCUGAAUCUCCUCGUCGCCUUUUAGGAAGCUCUGUGGCUAAGACACCCGCAUGAAAAUUCUGCCCUAUUUCUGCAGUAAAUUUCCCAUUCCUGGGUUGGGUCAACCAGUGUGUAUCAGAUUUAUACCAGAUUUUCUUUGGGGGUGAUUGUCUGCAAUCACAGAAAAUGUGAAUUGAGAUCUUAGCCUAGUGUCCCAAGGAAAUCUUUGAAGAGGGUUUGCUUUCCAGAUUUUUAAAUGUAAAGGUGAUUUCAUUUGAAACUGUAAAUUCUAACCUUUAGGACUGGUGGUUGGCUGCACCUCUUGCCCUGUCCACUGCCUGUCUCACGAUUUCUAGUCUCCUACCUCAGGUUUCCCUCCUGCCUGCCAGAUGGCCACCAAAUGAAAAUUCCUGAGGCCCCGCUGGAUCAUGUCAACUCCAAAUGCCAAGCCGUUAGUUCUGCGAGGAGGGGAUUCUGCUCAGCUCACGGCUCCAUAUCCCACAGAACACAGCACAGUCUUCUGUGGUCCCUGGAACGUAAGCCUGUCAUCCGCACAGGAAGUUCAAACUGGCAAAUUCUCGGGAACUUUCCUGCUAUAGAAAGGAAUGCACCUCUUUGGAUCCUGCCCCACAGUUGUGGUCUCGAGCUAUGGGAAAGAGAAGGACAUUGCAAACGAAGUCUCCAAUCUGGAAGAGUGAAUGGGUCAACGUGAAUGCGCUCAGUCAAGGGGUGCUUUCCCUUCCUGAAUUAAAAAUCUCCCCAAAUGAGCGGCCUCCUGCCCGGAUACAGAGCUCACAUAACACAUACUGUGCUCUUCCGUCAGUCCGUCUUCCUCCUUUAUCCAGAUGAGCCCUGUAGGCAAUUUACAUGCCAUUUGUCCACAAGGGAAGUAAUUAACCUCCCCUCACCCUGGGAGAAAGGAUGGCGCUGUAAAGGGGGGCAGCUCCUCACUGUCCGCAGGUGGGAGGGCCGCCCCAGGGGAGGGGGCAGCUGGCCAGCGCAGACUUCCCUCUGUGAACUGGAAUGGGUUUCAUUGACUUUCAGCCUCCCAGGGGUGUCUGUGGGAUUGAAAAGUGCUGCCAGACCAUGGGGUCAAAGAGAAUGGGCCCAGCAAGGCGCAGGCUUCCCCUGGAGGGGAGAAUGGCAGUGGCCCCUUAAUCACCAGCUCCCCCCCCAACCCCAGAGGGGCUGGCCCAGAGAAAGGCCAGGUGGACCCACACUUCUUCCGCAGAUCAGAUUUGUGGAGACCCUUGUAAGCUGGCCAUUUCUGAGCCAACGCAAUAUGAGACGGGUCUUCCUUUGCCCUGAGGAUUUUAUCAUCAAAAUGAUGUGAAAGAAAUCUCCAUUUAGAAAAUUCUCAAUCAUUUUGGAGAACAGUGUCCUAUUAGAACCAACAUUAUCCUCCCACAUACAGACGGUCCCCUAUGUAGGAUGGCUCAACUUAGGAUUUUUCAACUUCACGAUGGUGCAAAAGCGAUAGGCCUUCAGGAGAAAGAAACUAUAGUUAGAAUUUUUGCUGUUGAUUUUUUUUCUCCGGGCUAGCGACUGGUGGUACUCCCAUGCUGCUGGGGGGUGGGGUGAGGGCAAUAGGCCACCAGGGCCAACAACCGGCACAAUUCGCAACUAUUCUGCACCCACAUAACCAUCUGUUCUUCACUUCCAGUACAGUGUCCAAGAGAUUACCAGAUAGUCAACACUCCAUUAUCAAACGGGCUUUGUGUGUGAUGGUUAUGUCCAACUGUGGGCUAAUGUUAGUGUUCUGAGCACAUUUCAGGUGGGCUGGGCUAAGCUAUGCUGGUUGGUAGGUUAGGGGUAUUAAGGAAAUAUUCAAAUUACGAGGGGUUUCUCAGGUUGUAACCCCAUUAUAAGUCGAGGAAGAUCUGUAUUCCACACUCCAGAAGAAAAGAGUAAACCAGCGAUGGAACACUCAUCAGUAUCCUUCUGCAUCUGACAAGAGUGAUGUCUCCAGUUUCCAGUGCGUCUCUGGAACAGCAGCACAGCAGGGGGAGCUGGAGCUCAGGGACCACCCAACCCCUCCUGGUUCCCCAGAAUUUGGUGACCAUCUCUGCGGCUAACCCGGAUGUCUCCAAGGCUCCAAGCUACAGAACCUAUCACCCCAUGGACACUGCGUGGAUGUUCUGAUGACCUCAGAAACCACUGAGCUGCCCGAGCAGGUCACCGUUGACCCACGUCAUACUCAUUUCAGACUCAUCCUGAGCGGCCUUCUGUUUUGAUGA
Molecule: long non-coding RNA, 3295 nt
Organism: Ailuropoda melanoleuca (giant panda)
Lineage: Eukaryota; Metazoa; Chordata; Mammalia; Carnivora; Ursidae
Exons: 3
Source: RefSeq, a predicted model, not a curated record